GCCGGGCGUGGUGGCACAUGCCUGUAAUCCCAGCUACUCGGGAGGCUGAGGCAGGAGAAUGGCUUGAACCCAGGAGUCGGAGGUUUCAGUGAGCCGAGAUCAUGCCAUUGCACUCCAGCUUGGGCAACAAGAGCAAAACUCUGGCUCAAAAAAAAGAAAGACAGGGUCUUCGUCUCGCUCUGUCACCUAGGCUGGAGUGCAGUGGCACGAUCAUAGCUGACUGUAACCUCCAAUUCCUGGGCUCAAGCCAUGCUCCCUCC
Molecule: long non-coding RNA, 260 nt
Filed under: Homo sapiens (human)
Lineage: Eukaryota; Metazoa; Chordata; Mammalia; Primates; Hominidae
Description: non-protein coding lnc-CRLF1-3:1
Source: RNAcentral